Molecule: ribosomal RNA, 459 nt
Filed under: uncultured Comamonadaceae bacterium
Lineage: Bacteria; Pseudomonadati; Pseudomonadota; Betaproteobacteria; Burkholderiales; Comamonadaceae
Description: bacterial SSU rRNA
Rfam family: Bacterial small subunit ribosomal RNA
Source: RNAcentral
GACGGGACCGCACAAGCGGUGGAUGAUGUGGAUUAAUUCGAUGCAACGCGAAAACCUUACCUACCUUGACAUGUCCGGAAUCCUGCAGAGAUGCGGGGUGCCGAAAGGAAUCGGAACACAGGUGCUGCAUGGCUGUCGUCAGCUCGUGUCGUGAGAUGUUGGGUUAAGUCCCGCAACGAGCGCAACCCUUGCCAUUAGUUGCUACGAAAGGGCACUCUAAUGGGACUGCCGGUGACAAACCGGAGGAAGGUGGGGAUGACGUCAAGUCCUCAUGGCCCUUAUAGGUGGGGCUACACACGUCAUACAAUGGCCGGUACAGAGGGUAGCCAACCCGCGAGGGGGAGCCAAUCCCACAAAGCCGGUCGUAGUCCGGAUCGCAGUCUGCAACUCGACUGCGUGAAGUCGGAAUCGCUAGUAAUCGCGGAUCAGCAUGUCGCGGUGAAUACGUUCCCGGGUCUU